GUCCAGACUCCUACGGGAGGCAGCAGUGGGGAAUAUUGCACAAUGGGGGAAACCCUGAUGCAGCAACGCCGCGUGAGUGAAGAAGUAUUUCGGUAUGUAAAGCCCUAUCGGCAGGGAAGAAGGAGGACGGUACCUGACUAAGAAGCCCCGGCUAACUACGUGCCAGCAGCCGCGGUAAUACGUAGGGGGCAAGCGUUAUCCGGAUUUACUGGGUGUAAAGGGGGCGCAGACGGCAGCGCAAGCCAGGAGUGAAAGCCCGGGGCCCAACCCCGGGACUGCUCUUGGAACUGCGCGGCUGGAGUGCAGGAGGGGCAGGCGGAAUUCCUAGUGUAGCGGUGAAAUGCGUAGAUAUUAGGAGGAACACCGGUGGCGAAGGCGGCCUGCUGGACUGUGACUGACGUUGAGGCCCGAAGGCGUGGGGAGCAAACAGGAUUAGAUACCCCGGUA
This 447-nucleotide ribosomal RNA is filed under the name uncultured bacterium. RNAcentral's name for it is "partial 16S ribosomal RNA". It matches the Rfam family "Bacterial small subunit ribosomal RNA", at positions 329 to 792 of the family's 1533-position model. The record is from RNAcentral.